Paramisgurnus dabryanus is the source of this 431-nucleotide non-coding RNA. NCBI's taxonomy places the organism in Eukaryota, Metazoa, Chordata, Actinopteri, Cypriniformes, Cobitidae. The record is from RefSeq and is a predicted model, not a curated record.
AAACAAGAACUAUAGAUAAAUUGUAACAUACGUGUUAGUUGAUAUUAAGUUAACACUGUCUGUGUUUUUACCUCAGGUAAACUCUGCAAGCUUUCUAAGUUACUUCAGAUGCUGGCGAUAAGUCUUGAGGUCUGAACAAUUUUACAGGUAAAACUGAGUUACAUUUUAAAAUAUGCUUUAACUUUUAGUGAAUUACAAGACUGCCAUGGUAAUGUUUAUUUUGACCCUCAAAUUCAUAGGACACCACCAUGGCUGAAAGCAAAGCGGCUCAAUUCUUUAAUGGAGGACAGCAGAGAUGUUGCACAGUAAGGGCAAGAACGCAGUACAAAGACACAAGAAAGACAAUGAGACAAACAGACCCAGUUCCUGCUGCUGUGAAGGUCAUCACACCACUGAUCUACUGACCGUCCUUCUACGAGAUGCCCAGCCGA